RNAcentral lists this unclassified non-coding RNA (326 nucleotides) under uncultured Latescibacterota bacterium. RNAcentral's name for it is "uncultured Latescibacteria bacterium partial contains 16S ribosomal RNA, 16S-23S ribosomal RNA intergenic spacer, and 23S ribosomal RNA". The stretch from base 211 to 326 matches the Rfam family "Bacterial large subunit ribosomal RNA", at positions 1 to 116 of the family's 2925-position model. The record is from RNAcentral. Lineage: Bacteria; Pseudomonadati; Candidatus Latescibacterota.
AAGGAAGAUGGCUGAGGCCUAGAGCCUCACCUAAUCCUGGUCGAUCUACCAACUCAACAUACGAGUCGGUAGUCAAUCAAAGCGAAGCUUGUUCAAGUAAGUGUGCUGCUCAGUUUUGAGGGUCUAACCCUCGGACGCCUUAACGGGCGUCUUUUGCACCUUGAAAACUGCACAGUGGAAAGAGAAAAGCCGUAACAAAACCUCGUGAGAGGUCAAGCUAGAAAGGGCAUGCGGUGAAUGCCUUGGCGCCAGGUGCCGAAGAAGGACGCGGUAAGCUGCGAAAAGCCUCGGGGAGCUGCAAGCAAGCUUCGAUCCGAGGGUCUCCG